This 952-nucleotide non-coding RNA is filed under the name Psilopogon virens (great barbet). RNAcentral describes it as "12S ribosomal RNA". It matches the Rfam family "Bacterial small subunit ribosomal RNA". Lineage: Eukaryota; Metazoa; Chordata; Aves; Piciformes; Megalaimidae. The record is from RNAcentral.
AAAAGAUUUAGUCCUAACCUUACAGUUAAUUAUUACCAGACUUAUACAUGCAAGUAUCCGCACACCAGUGUAAAUGCCCUUGGCUUCUUAACAAGACAAAAGGAGCAGACAUCAGGCACGCUUCUUGCAGCCUAAGACGCCUUGCUCAGCCACACCCUCACGGGUAUUCAGCAGUAAUUGACAUUAAGCAAUAAGUGUAAACUUGACUUAGUUAUGGUAAACAGGGUUGGUAAAUCUUGUGCCAGCCACCGCGGUCAUACAAGAAACCCAAAUUAACUGCAUACGGCGUAAAGAGUGGUCCAAACAUUAUCCCUCCAACUAGAGCUAAAUUACUACUGAGCUGUCAUAAGCUAAAGACGUAUAUAAAUCCUGUAUCAACACAGCUCUAGCACCAAAGACUAAUUUAACCCCACGAAAGCCAGGGCACAAACUGGGAUUAGAUACCCCACUAUGCCUAGCCCUAAAUCUAGAUGUGUUUUCCACCAAAGCAUCCGCCCGGGAAUUACGAGCACAAACGCUUAAAACCCUAAGGACUUGGCGGUGUCCCAAACCCCCCUAGAGGAGCCUGUUCUGUAAUCGAUAACCCACGUUACACCCAACCCCUCCUUGCCCAAACAGCCUAUAUACCGCCGUCGUCAGCCCACCUUCCCUGAAAGACUAAUAGUGAGCUUAAUAAUCCAACCCAUUAAUAAGACAGGUCAAGGUAUAGCCUAUGGAGGGGAAGAAAUGGGCUACAUUUUCUAUCAUAGACCAUCACGGAAGGAGACCUGAAACAAUCUCCAGAAGGAGGAUUUAGCAGUAAAACAAGAUAAUCAAACUUGUUUUAAACUGGCCCUAGGACACGUACAUACCGCCCGUCACCCUCUUCAUAAGCUAAGAUUCCCCAUACCUAAUCAAUAAAUAAGCUAAAGAUGAGGUAAGUCGUAACAAGGUAAGUGUACCGGAAGGUGCA